GCAUAUCAAUAAGCGGAGGAAGAGAAACCAACAGGGAUUACCUCAGUAACGGCGAGCGACGCGGUAAAAGCUCAAAAUUUGAAAUCUGGCUCUUUUAGAGUCCGAAUUGUAAUUUGUAGAAGAUGCUUCGGGUGUGGUUCCGGUCUAAGUUCCUUGGAACAGGACGUCAUAGAGGGUGAGAAUCCCGUAUGUGACUGGAUACCUAUGCUCAUGUGAAGCUCUUUCGACGAGUCGAGUUGUUUGGGAAUGCAGCUCAAAAUGGGAGGUAUAUUUCUUCUAAAGCUAAAUAUUGGCCAGAGACCGAUAGCGCACAAGUAGAGUGAUCGAAAGAUGAAAAGCACUUUGGAAAGAGAGUUAAACAGUACGUGAAAUUGUUGAAAGGGAAGCGCUUGCAAUCAGACUUGCACUUGGUGUUCAUCAGGGUCUCGUACCCUGUGUACUUCAUCAAGUUCAGGCCAGCAUCAGUUUGAGUGGUUAGAUAAAGGCUUAGAGAAUGUGGCCCUCUUCGGGGGGUGUUAUAGCUCUAGGUGCAAUGUAGCCUACUUGGACUGAGGACCGCGCUUCGGCUAGGAUGCUGGCGUAAUGGUUGUAAGCGACCCGUCUUGAAACACGGACCAAGGAGUGUACCUAAUAUGCGAGUGUUUGGGUGUUAAACCCAUACGCGUAAUGAAAGUGAACGCUGGUGAGAACCCUUAAGGGUGCAUCAUCGACCGAUCUUGAUGUCUUCGGAUGGAUUUGAGUAAGAGCAUAUUGGGUGCGACCCGAAAGAUGGUGAUCUAUACGUGAAUAGGGUGAAGCCAGAGGAAACUCUGGUGGAGGCUCGCAGCGCGUUCUGACGUGCAAAUUGGAUCGUCAAAUUUGCGUAUAGGGGGCGAAAGACUAAUCGGAACCAUCUAGUAGGCUGGUUCCCUGCCCGAAG
Molecule: ribosomal RNA, 919 nt
Filed under: Botrytis paeoniae
Lineage: Eukaryota; Fungi; Ascomycota; Leotiomycetes; Helotiales; Sclerotiniaceae
Description: LSU rRNA
Rfam family: Eukaryotic large subunit ribosomal RNA
Source: RNAcentral